CUCCUAUAUAUAUUAAGUUUCAUUUAUAAAGACAUCAGAGAGCACCUGAGAAUGUUUCAAGGUCACCAAAAGCUUUCUGAAAAUGCCUUUCUGCAAAGAAGGUUUCCAGGGAGAGUGUUAAUUGGAUUGGAAGGAAGACACUGAUGAGCUGCUGGGAGUGAGAGUGAGACCCUCGAGGAGUCCACAGUGCAUUUUAAGGAGUGUAGCUCUGAUGAACUGCAAGGCCUUUGUUUUGCUGUGUGGGGGCC
This 248-nucleotide long non-coding RNA is filed under the name Homo sapiens (human). RNAcentral's name for it is "HSALNT0307220". The record is from RNAcentral. Lineage: Eukaryota; Metazoa; Chordata; Mammalia; Primates; Hominidae.